GAUAUUUAGCUUUCCUUAGUCAUUAAGCUAGGAUCCCUUAGACUCUAUAAAUUGAGAGCUUGUCCCAAAUUCACUCUCACAUUUUCAACAGCCCAAGGAGAGGGUGAGAGAGGGAGAGUUGGCUUAAGAGAAGUAGAGAAGUAAGAAGAAGAAAAAAAAAGAAGAGAAAAAGAAGGAAUCAAAGGUGAUUCAAGAAGGUGAAGGUGAGGAAGCAGCUUACGACGGGGAAGGUUAUCCUGAAGACAAUCAAGAUGAAGUGUUGGAGCCUUGGUUCACUUGAAAAUUUGGAUUAGUAGUUUGUUUUUGUUUUCCCUUUUCUUUUAUCUUUUGGCUUGAUAGUGUUUUGUAAACUUCUAGUGUAACUCAAAUUAGUUAUCUAUGCUAUAACUCUGCUUAUAUGUGUAUAUUAAAAUAUUGUGGUUGUCUCU
Non-coding RNA from Camellia sinensis, 428 nucleotides. Lineage: Eukaryota; Viridiplantae; Streptophyta; Magnoliopsida; Ericales; Theaceae. The record is from RefSeq and is a predicted model, not a curated record.